UACGUAGGGUGCAGGCGUUAAUCGGAAUUACUGGGCGUAAAGCGUGCGCAGGCGGUUUGCUAAGAGAGAUGUGAAAUCCCCGGGCUUAACCUGGGAACUGCGUUUCUAACUGGCAGGCUUGAGUGUGGCAGAGGGGGGUGGAAUUCCACGUGUAGCAGUGAAAUGCGUAGAUAUCUGGAGGAAUACCGGUGGCGAAGGCGGCAUCCUGGACCGGCAUUGACGCUGAGGAGCGAAAGCUAGGGGAGCAAACGGG
RNAcentral lists this ribosomal RNA (253 nucleotides) under uncultured bacterium. Its description in RNAcentral is "partial 16S ribosomal RNA". It matches the Rfam family "Bacterial small subunit ribosomal RNA", at positions 524 to 776 of the family's 1533-position model. The record is from RNAcentral.